AGGCGAGUAGCUCAAUUGGUAGAGUACCGGUCUCCAAAACCGGGGGUUGCGGGUUCGAAGCCCUCCUCGCCUGCCA
This 76-nucleotide transfer RNA is filed under the name Chitinibacter fontanus. RNAcentral's name for it is "tRNA-Trp". It matches the Rfam family "tRNA". From Rfam's summary of the family: Transfer RNA (tRNA) molecules are approximately 80 nucleotides in length. Their secondary structure includes four short double-helical elements and three loops (D, anti-codon, and T loops). The record is from RNAcentral. Lineage: Bacteria; Pseudomonadati; Pseudomonadota; Betaproteobacteria; Neisseriales; Chitinibacteraceae. RNAcentral also lists the same sequence under 5 other names.